RNAcentral lists this ribosomal RNA (301 nucleotides) under uncultured bacterium. RNAcentral's name for it is "partial 16S ribosomal RNA". It matches the Rfam family "Bacterial small subunit ribosomal RNA", at positions 509 to 809 of the family's 1533-position model. The record is from RNAcentral.
CAGCCGCCGCGGUAAUACGGAGGGAGCUAGCGUUGUUCGGAAUUACUGGGCGUAAAGCGCGCGUAGGCGGUUACUCAAGUCAGAGGUGAAAGCCCGGGGCUCAACCCCGGAACUGCCUUUGAAACUAGGUGACUAGAAUCUUGGAGAGGUCAGUGGAAUUCCGAGUGUAGAGGUGAAAUUCGUAGAUAUUCGGAAGAACACCAGUGGCGAAGGCGACUGACUGGACAAGUAUUGACGCUGAGGUGCGAAAGCGUGGGGAGCAAACAGGAUUAGAUACCCCAGUAGUCCCUGUCUCUUAUAA